RNAcentral lists this ribosomal RNA (450 nucleotides) under uncultured Glomeromycotina. RNAcentral's name for it is "SSU rRNA". It matches the Rfam family "Eukaryotic small subunit ribosomal RNA", at positions 569 to 1024 of the family's 1831-position model. The record is from RNAcentral. Lineage: Eukaryota; Fungi; Glomeromycota.
AGCAGCCUCGGUAAUUCCAGCUCCAAUAGCGUAUAUUAAAGUUGCUGCAGUUAAAAAGCUCGUAGUUGAAUUUCGGGACCGAUAUAUCGGUCGUGCCUCGGUACGUACUGGUAUUUUCGGUUUCUCCCUUCUGACGAACCUUGAUAUCAUUAAUUUGGUGUCUUGGGAAAUCAGGACUGUUACUUUGAAAAAAUUAGAGUGUUUAAAGCAGGCUCACGCUUGAACACAUUAGCAUGGAAUAAUGAAAUAGGACGUUUGAUUCUAUUUUGUUGGUUUCUAGGAUCGACGUAAUGAUUAAUAGGGAUAGUUGGGGGCAUUAGUAUUCAAUUGUCAGAGGUGAAAUUCUUGGAUUUAUUGAAGACUAACUACUGCGAAAGCAUUUGCCAAGGAUGUUUUCAUUAAUCCAGAACGAAAGUUAGGGGAUCGAAGACGAUCAGAUACCGUCAUAGU